GGACGGGUGAGUAACACGUGGGAACGUGCCUUUAGGUUCGGAAUAAGCCCGGGAAACUGGGUCUAAUACCGAAUGUGCCCUUCGGGGGAAAGAUUUAUCGCCUUUAGAGCGGCCCGCGUCUGAUUAGCUAGUUGGUGAGGUAAAGGCUCACCAAGGCGACGAUCAGUAGCUGGUCUGAGAGGAUGAUCAGCCACACUGGGACUGAGACACGGCCCAGACUCCUACGGGAGGCAGCAGUGGGGAAUCUUGCGCAAUGGGCGAAAGCCUGACGCAGCCAUGCCGCGUGAAUGAUGAAGGUCUUAGGAUUGUAAAAUUCUUUCACCGGGGACGAUAAUGACGGUACCCGGAGAAGAAGCCCCGGCUAACUUCGUGCCAGCAGCCGCGGUAAUACGAAGGGGGCUAGCGUUGCUCGGAAUUACUGGGCGUAAAGGGCGCGUAGGCGGAUCGUUUAGUCAGAGGUGAAAUCCCAGGGCUCAACCCUGGAAUUGCCUUUGAUACUGGCGAUCUUGAGUGUGAGAGAGGUAUGUGGAACUCCGAGUGUAGAGGUGAAAUUCGUAGAUAUUCGGAAGAACACCAGUGGCGAAGGCGACAUACUGGCU
RNAcentral lists this ribosomal RNA (599 nucleotides) under Vreelandella sulfidaeris. Its description in RNAcentral is "bacterial SSU rRNA". It matches the Rfam family "Bacterial small subunit ribosomal RNA", at positions 100 to 734 of the family's 1533-position model. Lineage: Bacteria; Pseudomonadati; Pseudomonadota; Gammaproteobacteria; Oceanospirillales; Halomonadaceae. The record is from RNAcentral.